GAUGAAGAACGCAGCGAAACGCGAUAAGUAAUGUGAAUUGCAGAAUUCCGUGAAUCAUCGAAUCUUUGAACGCACAUUGCGCCCCCUGGCAUUCCGGGGGGCAUGCCUGUCCGAGCGUCAUUUCUGCCCUCAAGCACGGCUUGUGUGUUGGGUGUGGUCCCCCCGGGGACCUGCCCGAAAGGCAGCGGCGACGUCCGUCUGGUCCUCGAGCGUAUGGGGCUCUGUCACUCGCUCGGGAAGGACCUGCGGGGGUUGGUCACCACCAUGUUUUACCACGGUUGACCUCGGAUCAGGUAGGAGUUACCCGCUGAACUUAAGCAUAUCAAUAAGCGGAGGA
This 337-nucleotide unclassified non-coding RNA is filed under the name soil metagenome. RNAcentral describes it as "partial contains 5.8S ribosomal RNA, internal transcribed spacer 2, and large subunit ribosomal RNA". The stretch from base 1 to 120 matches the Rfam family "5.8S ribosomal RNA", at positions 35 to 154 of the family's 154-position model. The record is from RNAcentral.